RNAcentral lists this ribosomal RNA (496 nucleotides) under uncultured bacterium. RNAcentral describes it as "partial 16S ribosomal RNA". It matches the Rfam family "Bacterial small subunit ribosomal RNA", at positions 36 to 506 of the family's 1533-position model. The record is from RNAcentral.
UCUUCCCUCUUCCCUCGUGCCUAAUACAUGCAAGUCGAGCGAAAAGACGAGGAGCUUGCUCCUCUGACGUUAGCGGCGGACGGGUGAGUAACACGUGGAUAACCUACCUAUAAGAAUGGGAUAAUUUUGGGAAACCGGAUCUAAUACCGGAAAAUAUAUUGAACCGCAUGGUUCAAUAGUGAAAGACGGUUUUGCUGUCACUUAUCGAUGGAUCCGCGCCGCAUGAGACAGUUGGUAGGGUAAGGGCUUACCCAGGCGACGAUGCGUAGCCGACCUGAGAGGUGGAUCGGCGACACUGGAGCUGAGACGCGGACCAGACUCCUACGGGAGGCAGCAGUAGGGAAUCUUCCGCAAGGGGCGAAAGCCUGACGGAGCGACGCCGGGGGAGUGAUGAAGGUCUGCGUGUCGUAAAUCUCUUUUAUCAGGGAAGAACAAAUGUGUAAGUAACUAUGCACGUCUGAACGGUACCUAAUCAGAAAGCCACGGCGAACUACGU